CUGGAGGUAUCAGAAGUGCGAAUGCUGACAUAAGUAACGAUAAAGCGGGUGAAAAGCCCGCUCGCCGGAAGACCAAGGGUUCCUGUCCAACGUUAAUCGGGGCAGGGUGAGUCGACCCCUAAGGCGAGGCCGAAAGGCGUAGUCGAUGGGAAACGGGUUAAUAUUCCCGUACUUGGUGUUACUGCGAAGGGGGGACGGAGAAGGCUAUGUUGGCCGGGCGACGGUUGUCCCGGUUUAAGCGUGUAGGUGUGUGUUCCAGGUAAAUCCGGUUCACUUUAACACUGAGGCGUGACGACGAGGCACUACGGUGCUGAAGCAACAAAUGCCCUGCUUCCAGG
Molecule: ribosomal RNA, 338 nt
Filed under: Salmonella enterica subsp. enterica serovar Mississippi
Lineage: Bacteria; Pseudomonadati; Pseudomonadota; Gammaproteobacteria; Enterobacterales; Enterobacteriaceae
Description: partial 23S ribosomal RNA
Rfam family: Bacterial large subunit ribosomal RNA
Source: RNAcentral